AUACGUAGGGUGCAAGCGUUAAUCGGAAUUACUGGGCGUAAAGCGUACGCAGGCGGUUUUGUAAGACAGAGGUGAAAUCCCCGGGCUCAACCUGGGAACUGCCUUUGUGACUGCAAGGCUAGAGUGCGGCAGAGGGGGAUGGAAUUCCGCGUGUAGCAGUGAAAUGCGUAGAUAUGCGGAGGAACACCGAUGGCGAAGGCAAUCCCCUGGGCCUGUACUGACGCUCAUGCACGAAAGCGUGGGGAGCAAACAGGAUUAGAUACCCUGGUAGUCCACGCCCUAAACGAUGUCAACUGGUUGUUGGGUCUUCAUUGACUCAGUAACGAAGCUAACGCGUGAAGUUGACCGCCUGGGGAGUACGGCCGCAAGGUUGAAACUCAAAUGAAUUGACGGGG
RNAcentral lists this ribosomal RNA (395 nucleotides) under uncultured bacterium. RNAcentral describes it as "partial 16S ribosomal RNA". It matches the Rfam family "Bacterial small subunit ribosomal RNA", at positions 523 to 918 of the family's 1533-position model. The record is from RNAcentral.